GGCGGUUUGUGUUUAUCCUGAGUCUGUUUGUAUUUAUUAUUUAGAAUUUGUAUUUAUCUUGAGAUGGUUUGCAUUUAUUUUUGCAGGAGUUAGUAUUUAUCCUCCUCAGUUAGUAUUUAUCCUGGGCAAACCUAAGUUUGUAUUUAUCCUAGAUAGUUUCUAUUUAUUACCUCAAAAUUUAUAUUUAUUAUUCAUAGUUUCUGUUUAUUAUACGAAGUUUAUAUUUAUUCUGGAGUACUUUAUAUUUAACCUACCACCUAAGGCAGAGAGCAAGCAGAUUUCUAUUUGUGUUUAUUAUUUG
Molecule: long non-coding RNA, 301 nt
Filed under: Elaeis guineensis (African oil palm)
Lineage: Eukaryota; Viridiplantae; Streptophyta; Magnoliopsida; Arecales; Arecaceae
Description: long non-coding RNA (EGUI_LNC008062)
Source: RNAcentral